RNAcentral lists this ribosomal RNA (492 nucleotides) under uncultured bacterium. RNAcentral describes it as "partial 16S ribosomal RNA". It matches the Rfam family "Bacterial small subunit ribosomal RNA", at positions 28 to 507 of the family's 1533-position model. The record is from RNAcentral.
GAUGAACGCUAGCUACAGGCUUAACACAUGCAAGUCGAGGGGCAGCGGUAUCGAAAGCUUGCUUUCGGUAGCCGGCGACCGGCGCACGGGUGAGUAACGCGUAUCGAACCUGCCUCAUACUCGGGAUUAGCCUUGCGAAAGUAAGAUUAAUGCCCGGUGUUUUCAGAGUCCCGCAUGAGGCUUUGAACAAAGAUUUAUCGGUAUGAGAUGGCGAUGCGUCCCAUUAGCUUGUUGGCGGGGUAACGGCCCACCAAGGCAUCGAUGGGUAGGGGUUCUGAGAGGAAGGUCCCCCACAUUGGAACUGAGACACGGUCCAAACUCCUACGGGAGGCAGCAGUGAGGAAUAUUGGUCAAUGGGCGGAAGCCUGAACCAGCCAAGUAGCGUGCAGGAAGACGGCCCUCCGGGUUGUAAACUGCUUUUAGUUGGGAAUAAAACGGGGCUCGUGAGCCCCCUUGCAUGUACCAUCAGAAAAAGGACCGGCUAAUUCCGUG